AUUAUUAGUAAAUUAAUAUUUUGAGUAGUAUUAGGGUUCUUAAAACUAAAAGAGUUUGGCGGUACUUCAGUCUUUUUAGAGGAACCUGUAAAUUAAUCGAUAGUCCACGUGUAUCUUACUAAAUUUAAUAUAUGUAUAUCGUUGUCAUCAGAAUAAUUUUUAGAAUAUUUUCAAGAUAUAGAUUUUUAUUAUGUCAAAUCAAGGUGCAGUUUAUAGUUUAGUUUAAUAUGGGUUACAAUAUCAAUGGAUAUAUGGAAUUUUUUUUGGAAUAGGAAAGUGAAGGUGGAUUUAAUUGUAUUUUUUUAUAAGAUUAGAGAUAAGAAAUAGUACUAAAGUAUGC
Molecule: ribosomal RNA, 340 nt
Filed under: Paralamyctes asperulus
Lineage: Eukaryota; Metazoa; Arthropoda; Chilopoda; Lithobiomorpha; Henicopidae
Description: partial 12S ribosomal RNA
Source: RNAcentral